This 474-nucleotide ribosomal RNA is filed under the name Agromyces sp. 'ARUP UnID 116'. RNAcentral's name for it is "bacterial SSU rRNA". It matches the Rfam family "Bacterial small subunit ribosomal RNA", at positions 27 to 506 of the family's 1533-position model. The record is from RNAcentral. Lineage: Bacteria; Bacillati; Actinomycetota; Actinomycetes; Micrococcales; Microbacteriaceae.
GGACGAACGCUGGCGGCGUGCUUAACACAUGCAAGUCGAACGAUGAACUCCAGCUUGCUGGGGGGAUUAGUGGCGAACGGGUGAGUAACACGUGAGUARCCUGCCCUGGACUCUGGGAUAACCCCGAGAAAUCGGAGCUAAUACCGGAUAGGACCCUGUACCGCAUGGUGUGGGGUGGAAAGUUUUUUCGGUCUGGGAUGGACUCGCGGCCUAUCAGCUUGUUGGUGAGGUAAUGGCUCACCAAGGCGUCGACGGGUAGCCGGCCUGAGAGGGUGACCGGCCACACUGGGACUGAGACACGGCCCAGACUCCUACGGGAGGCAGCAGUGGGGAAUAUUGCACAAUGGGCGCAAGCCUGAUGCAGCAACGCCGCGUGCGGGAUGACGGCCUUCGGGUUGUAAACCGCUUUUAGUAAGGAAGAAGGGGAGCUUGCUCCUUGACGGUACUUGCAGAAAAAGGACCGGCUAACUACGU